This 1389-nucleotide long non-coding RNA is filed under the name Sus scrofa (pig). RNAcentral's name for it is "lncRNA (ENSSSCG00070020653.1)". Lineage: Eukaryota; Metazoa; Chordata; Mammalia; Artiodactyla; Suidae. The record is from RNAcentral.
UAAUAAAUCCUGUUGUCAUUCCCGUAGCUCUGCUCUACGUAGUGAAAUCAUAGAUAAUUUUGGUUUUAGUUUUGUUUUUGGCUGGGCGCACAGCAUAUGGAAGUUCCCGGACCAGGGAUUGAACCUACACCACAGCAGCAACCCAAGCUACUUCAAUAACAAUACCAGAUCCUUAAUCCACUGCACCACAAGGGAGCCCUUAAUUUUUUGUUUGUUUGUUUUUAGGGCCGCACCCAAGGCAUGUGGAAGUUCCCAGACUAGGGGUGGAAUUGGAGCCAUAGCUGCUGGCCUACAUUACAGCUCACAGCAAUGCUGGAUCCUUAACCCACUGAGCAGGACCAGAGAUCGAACCUGCAUCCUCAUGGAUACUCUUGGGUUCGUAACCUGCUGAGCCACAAUGGGAACUCCCUUGUUUUUAUUUUUGGUAAUGUCUGAACCUUCUAUAACCUGCUGAUUUAUAUUAAAUCUAGUGGCAAAGGUUAUUACAAACACAGUAACCUACAUUUUUGAAUCCUCACAAGUUGAAGUGGCAGUCGAGACACCUGCCCUUGAUGAGUUUCACGUGGGCAUCAGGGCUGCUUUCAGUGCACGAGGGGCACUGUCAUAACUGCUCUGGUCUGUGGGCCAUGGUGAGUUCCCUGUGUUCACAGUGAGCACAGCAAGCCAGGCUUGGAGCAGGGGCCUGGCACCAACGAAGAGUUAAAUUCGGUUGAGAAAGAGGCUCCCCGCUGGGGGUGGCAGCUGCACUGCAGGCCUUCUCCUUUGCAGCCCAUUCUGAGGGACCCCUGGGGCCAUGGUGCUGGGACCCAAGGGCGCCACAAGCCCGGGGGCUGAGGCUCAGGGGGCAGCAAGCCCAGGAGCCAGCGGGGUUAAUAAAUACAACGCCGACUGAUUGUGUCCCCUGUUGCUAAGCCUAAAUUAACCAUGCUGGUGAGGUGGGGUUUGCUGUGGCAAGCCCCAGGCCCCUCCUGGGCUCUGAGGAGGGGAAGACGGGGUGGGGAGACCCAGCCCCCAGGACCCACCACCCCCAGGCCUUCCCCCCUCCAGCGGGGGCCAGCGGAAAAGGUGCUGCAGGAAGAGGACCGUUUCCUAUGGGGGUGGGUGGGGGUCUUUCUGUUUUCUCUCCCAAACAGGAAGCGGGCCCCAGAAGAGGCUGAAGUGCUGCCCUUUGACCCUUGGGAGCCGGGAGCCAGGCACUCACUGACAGCAGCCCCCAGAGCCGCCCCCAGCCUCCGGGCAGGCCUGCCACUCCCAGACACAGAGCAGACCGUCUGGGUCUGGCCCGGCGGGCUCCCCCAGACUCUGCGGCACCUCCGCCCUUCUGUCCGGUGGUGGCGGUGGCGGCGUCUGUCAACAGAAGCAUCUGCUCCGGCUCACAGGAUACCUUAA